This 24-nucleotide non-coding RNA is filed under the name Arabidopsis thaliana (thale cress). Lineage: Eukaryota; Viridiplantae; Streptophyta; Magnoliopsida; Brassicales; Brassicaceae. The record is from RNAcentral.
CUCCUACCGAUUGAAUGAUCCGGU